AGAGUUUGAUCCUGGCUCAGAAUCAACGCUGGCGGCGCGCUUAACACAUGCAAGUCGCACGAGAAAAGGGCAACCUUAGUAAAGUGGCGUACGGGUGAGUAACACGUGGAUCAUACACCUUUUAGUGGGGAAUAACUUUGGGAAACCGAAGCUAAUACCGCAUAAGCCCGAGAGGGGAAAGCAGCAAUGCGCUGAAAGAGUAGUCCGCGGCUGAUUAGCUAGUUGGUGAGGUAAUGGCUCACCAAGGCUUUGAUCGGUAGCCGGCCUGAGAGGGCUCACGGCCACACUGGCACUGAAACACGGGCCAGACUCCUACGGGAGGCAGCAGUGGGGAAUCUUGCACAAUGGGGGAAACCCUGAUGCAGCGACGCCGCGUGAGUGAUGAAGCCCUUCGGGGUGUAAAGCUCUUUCGACGGGAACGAUAAUGACGGUACCCGGAGAA
This 442-nucleotide ribosomal RNA is filed under the name uncultured bacterium. Its description in RNAcentral is "bacterial SSU rRNA". It matches the Rfam family "Bacterial small subunit ribosomal RNA", at positions 8 to 486 of the family's 1533-position model. The record is from RNAcentral.